CCUACGGGAGGCAGCAGUAAGGAAUAUUGGGCAAUGGACGCAAGUCUGACCCAGCCAUGCCGCGUGCAGGAUGAAGGCCCUUUGGGUUGUAAACUGCUUUUAUCUGGGAAGAAAUCCACUGUUUCUACGGUGGUUGACGGUACCAGAGGAAUAAGCACCGGCUAACUUCGUGCCAGCAGCCGCGGUAAUACGGAGGGUGCAAGCGUUAUCCGGAUUCACUGGGUUUAAAGGGUGCGUAGGCGGGUUUUUAAGUCAGCGGUGAAAGCUCCGAGCUUAACUCGGAAAUUGCCGUUGAUACUAUUAAUCUUGAAUUUAGUUGAGGUGGGCGGAAUGUGUAGUGUAGCGGUGAAAUGCUUAGAUAUUACACAGAACACCUAUUGCGAAGGCAGCUCGCUAAACUAAUAUUGACGCUGAGGCACGAAAGCGUGGGGAUCAAACAGGAUUAGAAACCCUGGUAGUCCACGCCCUAAACGAUGAUUACUCGAUCCGUGCGAUACACUGUACGGGUCUAUUCAAAAGCAUUAAGUAAUCCACCUGGAAGACGACCGCAAGGUUGAAACUCAAGGAAUUGAGNGNGAGAGNGCGAGACGACGACGAGGGAGAG
RNAcentral lists this ribosomal RNA (604 nucleotides) under uncultured bacterium. Its description in RNAcentral is "bacterial SSU rRNA". It matches the Rfam family "Bacterial small subunit ribosomal RNA", at positions 338 to 945 of the family's 1533-position model. The record is from RNAcentral.